CGGACGUAGGUAACCUGCCUGGUAGCGGGGGAGUAACUAUUGGAAACGAUAGCUAAUACCGCAUAACAGUAGAUGUUGCAUGACAUUUGCUUAAAAGGUGCAAUUGCAUCACUACCAGAUGGACCUGCGUUGUAUUAGCUAGUUGGUGGGGUAACGGCUCACCAAGGCGACGAUACAUAGCCGACCUGAGAGGGUGAUCGGCCACACUGGGACUGAGGCACGGCCCAG
This 228-nucleotide ribosomal RNA is filed under the name uncultured Streptococcaceae bacterium. Its description in RNAcentral is "partial 16S ribosomal RNA". It matches the Rfam family "Bacterial small subunit ribosomal RNA", at positions 112 to 334 of the family's 1533-position model. Lineage: Bacteria; Bacillati; Bacillota; Bacilli; Lactobacillales; Streptococcaceae. The record is from RNAcentral.